RNAcentral lists this ribosomal RNA (427 nucleotides) under uncultured bacterium. RNAcentral's name for it is "partial 16S ribosomal RNA". It matches the Rfam family "Bacterial small subunit ribosomal RNA", at positions 355 to 774 of the family's 1533-position model. The record is from RNAcentral.
UAGGGAAUCUUCCGCAAUGGGCGCAAGCCUGACGGAGCAACGCCGCGUGAGUGAUGAAGGUCUUCGGAUCGUAAAACCCUGUUAUUAGGGAAGAACAAACGUGUAAGUAACUGUGCACGUCUUGACGGUACCUAAUCAGAAAGCAACGGCUAACUACGUGCCAGCAGCCGCGGUAAUACGUAGGUGGCAAGCGUUAUCCGGAAUUAUUGGGCGUAAAGCGCGCGUAGGCGGUUUUUUAAGUCUGAUGUGAAAGCCCACGGCUCAACCGUGGAGGGUCAUUGGAAACUGGAAAACUUGAGUGCAGAAGAGGAAAGUGGAAUUCCAUGUGUAGCGGUGAAAUGCGCAGAGAUAUGGAGGAACACCAGUGGCGAAGGCGACUUUCUGGUCUGUAACUGACGCUGAUGUGCGAAAGCGUGGGGAUCAAACA